UCAAUACCCAGUUAGUAGUUCACUGCAUGGCAUUUAAAAUCAGUAUAAUGAUACCAAAAUUAGCAAUGGUUUAUAACAGCAACCUUUUCUUUGCUUCAGGAAGAUUUUAAAUACUCAUGGCCAGGAUCUUACCGAGAGGAAGCUCUUCAGAGGAUGAGGGUCUUCCUUUGUUGCUGUUGACUGGACAGUGAAUUUCCCCAAAGGAGAAGGAACAGAAUUUGGUGGCAUCCAGAGAAAGCCACACAACCUCAUUGCAAUGCUCACUUGUGAACAGACUCACCUAAGAGGAGAAUCAUGCAAUCUCUGACCAUCUGUCCAUUAUCUGCAGCUGGAACUAGAUAUUGUCCAGAGGAGAAAUGAUGGCUCCCAAAUGUAAAUAAUAGCACAGAGGUGCCCUGAGGAUUGGAAGAGGAGCUUGGCUUGGAUUCAAGGACAAUCAAAACAACAGAAGAGGCAGAACAUAAUCAGUGGCCUCUCUGAUAAAGGUCGAAAAGCAUCUAUGGCAAAGGUAAAAGGAAGGACCCUCAGAGCCCCUACAGUUGUGUUCUAUCUUUGGACUGAAGGGGAAAACUGCAAGCACUGAACAGCAUCCUUGUGGUACUGCACUCGAAUUUAAGGACUUUUCCUGGAAACAGCCUAAGUGCAACUCCAACCAGACCUACUGGAAAUAGUGGAAAACUGAGAAAAAGUUGUCAUGGAAACCACUAACACCGAGAUAUGGGUGAAAAAAGAAGCUUUCAUCCAGAGACCACAAUUAUUUGCAAAGAAUCUGUGAGCUUCUGAAACACUUUUUUCCUGCUCAGUUCUGCUGAGAUCUCAACUCAAAGACCAGCUGGAGGGUGGAAGUGCCAUUGGAACACUAAAUCUGGUAAUGCAGCAUUUGAAGGAAGGUUGUUUCUCCUUUUCCAUGUCCACGUUGAGCAAGGGAGUACAGCACAGAGACACUGAGUUACCAACAGCAGCUCAGUGUCCAUCCUGCAGCCACCCCCGAUCUUUGGGGAAAAAAAAGCGAAGGAGUAGCCAUGUGGAGAGGCUCCUGUCUGGAUGAUUCCCCAGCUCACAGCAAUCUGCCAAGAAGCUGGCAGGGCCUAGGCUCAUCCACAGUGAAGCUUGGGAUCCCAGAUCACUUUGAGAGGCAGCACCAGUGAAGCCAGCCUGUGAAAAAGCUGGAGAAGUUUUUGGACAAAACGUGAAUGAUUUUAAAGCUGUUGGAGACUUUGCAACUUCAGAAACAGGAAGCUAAACUUUGAGGCUACUCUAAGGCUGCCGGAACACUGAGCAGAAGUUGAGGAGAUACUGAAUGUAUCCCAUGGCCUGAAGGCAGGAUUGACACCAGACCUUCUACACUUUUCUUUGGCUGUACUUUGAUACUUAAAAUAUUGAUGAGUCUGGAGGCUGUUUCAAAACUUGAAAUGACAGAAGAGAAAAAAAUCCCCCAAUGGUAACAGAAAAAUCUGUGACCUGAACAGUCUUGAAACAAUUGGUGAGUAGUGAGCAGUAAUGGAAGCUUGAACAGGCUCUGAUUGGCAAAUGUGGAACUUGAGAUGUUUUACAAUGCACCAGUAAUGAAGAACUGGU
Long non-coding RNA from Pseudopipra pipra, 1578 nucleotides. RefSeq lists it as uncharacterized. Lineage: Eukaryota; Metazoa; Chordata; Aves; Passeriformes; Pipridae. The transcript is spliced from 7 exons. The record is from RefSeq and is a predicted model, not a curated record.